GACCCAGUGGUGUACUGGUAACACACCUGCUUUCAAUUGAAUGGCAUGCAUUUCCAAUGGGCAGCAGGAGUUGCUCGUUCGAUUCGGGCCUGGGUCG
Molecule: non-coding RNA, 97 nt
Organism: Mycena galericulata
Lineage: Eukaryota; Fungi; Basidiomycota; Agaricomycetes; Agaricales; Mycenaceae
Source: the annotation of a GenBank genome assembly